GUAGUCUCGCACAGAUGCAUAUCAAUAAGCGGAGGAAAAGAAACUAACAAGGAUUCCCCUAGUAACGGCGAGUGAAGCGGGAAGAGCUCAAAUCUGAAAUCUUAAAGGGUUUCCCUUUACGAAUUGUAGUUUAAAGAAGUGUUUUCUGUUGAGGUUUUGGUAAAAGUUCUUUGGAAUAGGACAUCAUAGAGGGUGAGAAUCCCGUAUUUGACCUUUACUUUCAACUUUGUGAUACACUUUCAAAGAGUCGGAUUGUUUGGGAAUGCAGUCCAAAAUGGGUGGUAAAUUUCAUCUAAAGCUAAAUAUUGGCGAGAGACCGAUAGCGAACAAGUACCGUGAGGGAAAGAUGAAAAGAACUUUGAAAAGAGAGUUAAACAGUACGUGAAAUUGUCAAAAGGGAAGCGUUUGACACCAGUGUUGUUUUUCUGAAAAUCAAUUAAAGAACUGUUUAUGCUAAGCUGUUUAGACUUUAUCAGCUAACUGUUUAGUUUUGAGCUUUUCUUUAAUGCACUUUUCAGUUAACAAGUCAACAUCAAUUUCUUUUGCUGUAAAAAAGCUUGAGGAAGGUGGCUUGAGAUUCGUCUUAAGUGUUUAUAGCCUCUUGCCUAUGCAGUCGGAGAGAUUGAGGUCUGCAGCGUAGAUCCUUCGGGGCUAAAUGCAUUUGUGCUAAGUUAUAGCAUUUUAUAGACAACUUGUUGACUAUGAUUUGUCUUGUAGCUUACUCGCUUAUGUUAUUUUACCUACGCUUAGGAUGUUGACGCGCGUGUGUGCGUG
This 774-nucleotide ribosomal RNA is filed under the name uncultured Neocallimastigales. RNAcentral's name for it is "partial large subunit ribosomal RNA". It matches the Rfam family "Eukaryotic large subunit ribosomal RNA", at positions 24 to 639 of the family's 3401-position model. The record is from RNAcentral. Lineage: Eukaryota; Fungi; Neocallimastigomycota; Neocallimastigomycetes; Neocallimastigales.